This 71-nucleotide transfer RNA is filed under the name Phycisphaerae bacterium. RNAcentral describes it as "tRNA-Gln". It matches the Rfam family "tRNA". Rfam says of the family: Transfer RNA (tRNA) molecules are approximately 80 nucleotides in length. Their secondary structure includes four short double-helical elements and three loops (D, anti-codon, and T loops). The record is from RNAcentral. Lineage: Bacteria; Pseudomonadati; Planctomycetota; Phycisphaerae.
UGGGGACUAGUGUAACGGCAGCACGACUGGCUCUGGACCAGUUAGUCGGGGUUCAAAUCCCUGGUCCCCAG